RNAcentral lists this ribosomal RNA (468 nucleotides) under uncultured bacterium. RNAcentral's name for it is "partial 16S ribosomal RNA". It matches the Rfam family "Bacterial small subunit ribosomal RNA", at positions 28 to 507 of the family's 1533-position model. The record is from RNAcentral.
GACGAACGCUGGCGGCGUGCUUAACACAUGCAAGUCGAACGGAAAGGCCCUGCUUUUGUGGGGUGCUCGAGUGGCGAACGGGUGAGUAACACGUGAGUAACCUGCCCUUGACUUUGGGAUAACUUCAGGAAACUGGGGCUAAUACCGGAUAGGAGCUCCUGCUGCAUGGUGGGGGUUGGAAAGUUUCGGCGGUUGGGGAUGGACUCGCGGCUUAUCAGCUUGUUGGUGGGGUAGUGGCUUACCAAGGCUUUGACGGGUAGCCGGCCUGAGAGGGUGACCGGCCACAUUGGGACUGAGAUACGGCCCAGACUCCUACGGGAGGCAGCAGUGGGGAAUAUGGCACAAUGGGCGGAAGCCUGAUGCAGCAACGCCGCGUGCGGGAUGACGGCCUUCGGGUUGUAAACCGCUUUAGCCUGUGACGAAGCGUGAGUGACGGUAAUGGGUAAAGAAGCACCGGCUAACUACGUG